Molecule: long non-coding RNA, 1468 nt
Filed under: Homo sapiens (human)
Lineage: Eukaryota; Metazoa; Chordata; Mammalia; Primates; Hominidae
Description: HSALNT0407111
Source: RNAcentral
GGCAACCAGCUCGGGUGCCGUUCCACACUGUGGAAGCUUUGUUCUUUCGUUCUUUGCAAUAAAUAUUGCUACUGCUCACUCUUUGGGUCCACGAUGCUUUUAUGAGCAGUAACACUCACCGCGAAGAUCUGCAGCUUCACUCCUGAGCCCAGCAAGACCACGAGCCCACCGGGAGGAACGAACAACUCCAGACGCGCUACCUUAAGAGCUGUAACACUCACCGUGAGGGUCCGCGGCUUCAUUCUUGAAGUCAGUGAGACCAAGAAGCCACCAAUUCCGGACACACUAUUACUUACAAUAAUAUGUAAGACAGACAAAGCCCCUGCUCUUGUGGAGCUUACAUAAAUAUAUAAUUGACUGUCUAGGAGGGAAGAGGCUAUGAAGAGAAGUAAAUAAGAGUAAGUGGAUAGGGAGGAACUUUACCUAGGGCGGUCAGGGGAUGCUAUGCUGAGCAGAGACCUGGAUGGAGUAAGAGAAUAAAAGCCAUGCACAUAUCAGGGACAAGAGCAUUACAGGCAGAGGGAAAAGCCAAAGAAGAGGCUCUGAGAUGGCAAAGAUGUCUGAAGUGUUUGAGGAGCAGUCAACAAGAAGGCCGCUGGGGCUGGAAGUCAGUGAGCAGGCCAAGUGGUAGGAAACGAAGUGAGAGAGGUACACAGGGCAAGGGACAUCUGUGGGCCACUGUAAAGAGGCAGAAAAGAGACCUUAUCUUACUUGUAAGGUAGAAGAGUCACUGUGUUCUGCAGGGCAGAGAAGAGAUGAAGAGAAGCAUGAAAGAAGGCAGGGAGAUUCAUUGGAAGGGUACUGCAGUGUCCAGGCAAGACAUAAUAGCUGCAUAUACUAGGUCAUCAAGGUCUAUAUAUUCUUCUCUUUUAGAACAUCGUUUGUUUUGUUAUUGCUGCUGCUGCUGCUGUUGUUGUUGUUGUCGUUUUAACCUUUAGAACUUUAGCAGAAUUUAUUUUGAGAUAUGAUGUCAUUUUAACUUUUUUCCAUAUGAAGAGCCAAUUGUCCCAACACCACUCUUUGAAUAUAGUCGUUCUUUUCCCAAUCGAAUUGUGAAACAAGUCAUGUUAUAUAUCAAUGGCUCUCUUUUAAGGGGACUCUCUAUUCUGGUUCAUAGAAUAGUUUUUCUAUUUCUGUGUGAAUGCCAUCUUUUCAAAUUGCUGUAAUCUUGCACUAUGUCUUGAUAUCGAGUAGAAGGGGUCUCACUCCACUAUCCCACCACGUUUUGCUCCUCUCUUUCAAAAUUGUUAAAAGAUUUUUGUGUACUUCAUUGUUUCAUAUUAACUUUAGGGUCAAUUUGCUUUUGAGUUUCCCCAAAAUCCUGUAGAUGUAUUGUGUUUUAACUACACUUAAUUUAACUUACCCUAGGGGGAACUGACAUCUAGAAAGUAUUAAGUCUCCCAAGUGUAGACGGAACCAGCUUUCCAUUGAUCAGGUUCUUCAAUAAAGUUUGAAACUUUUCUCCUUA